This 253-nucleotide ribosomal RNA is filed under the name uncultured bacterium. RNAcentral's name for it is "partial 16S ribosomal RNA". It matches the Rfam family "Bacterial small subunit ribosomal RNA", at positions 524 to 776 of the family's 1533-position model. The record is from RNAcentral.
UACGGGGGGGGCAAGCGUUGUUCGGAAUUACUGGGCGUAAAGGGCUCGUAGGCGGCCAACUAAGUCAGACGUGAAAUCCCUCGGCUUAACCGGGGAACUGCGUCUGAUACUGGAUGGCUUGAGUUUGGGAGAGGGAUGCGGAAUUCCAGGUGUAGCGGUGAAAUGCGCAGAUAUCAGGAGGAACACCGAUGGCGAAGGCAGCUCGCUGGGACGGUACUGACGCUGAGGCGCGAAAGCGUGGGGAGCGAACAGG